GUCCCCUUCGUCUAGAGGCCUAGGACAUCGCCCUUUCACGGCGAAAACAGGGGUUCGAAUCCCCUAGGGGACG
This 73-nucleotide transfer RNA is filed under the name secondary endosymbiont of Bemisia tabaci. RNAcentral describes it as "tRNA-Glu". It matches the Rfam family "tRNA". Rfam says of the family: Transfer RNA (tRNA) molecules are approximately 80 nucleotides in length. Their secondary structure includes four short double-helical elements and three loops (D, anti-codon, and T loops). The record is from RNAcentral. Lineage: Bacteria; Pseudomonadati; Pseudomonadota; Gammaproteobacteria; Enterobacterales; Enterobacteriaceae.